Helianthus annuus (common sunflower) is the source of this 441-nucleotide long non-coding RNA. RefSeq lists it as uncharacterized. The record is from RefSeq and is a predicted model, not a curated record. The transcript is spliced from 2 exons. NCBI's taxonomy places the organism in Eukaryota, Viridiplantae, Streptophyta, Magnoliopsida, Asterales, Asteraceae.
CCCAAACCGAUGUACAAAACGCCACAUAUACAUUGCAUCGCUUGCUUCUCCUCCACGAACAAACUCCAUACCAGAACCCAUCGAGAUCCGACGCUACCGUUGGAUUUCGUCCUUCCUUCGUCUCAAUGACAAAACUUUCUUCAUCCGCCAUCAUCACAUCUAUCAUCGCCACAACCACUGCAACCCUCUCCUCCUCCUUCCAGGAAUUGAGAGGGAGAAAGUGGGGGGAAACCGGUUUGGAGGAGAAAUUUGCGCCCAGAUUCGAUGGAUUGAGGUUUAUUGAGACCUUGGUCACUGCACACAAGUGAGCCAAGAUGCAGCUUUGUAUCUUAACCAUGUUUUCUGAUCAAGUUUUUGUUUUUAGAUCCCGUUUGUUGGGCGCCGGAUGUGUUGCUAUUUGAGUUUGUUAUCAAAAGAUAUAAAUUCACUAUUUUUUUAUUU